AAGCAGUUAGCUAAUAGCCCAGUCCCACAGAGCCCAUCUAAGCGAACAGUUGGGAUAAUUCAGGGAUGGUGGACUGGUCUUCCCGCGGAGCCACCAUACAUCAAGAGUCACAGUGGCUUUUUGAAUGGUUACCUGACCUUUAAAAUAAUGGCUAAUAUCUACUCCGUAUUCAAACUGCUGCUUGGGAAAGCGUUUACCUACCCAGCCCCCCUUCUCCUUCGACCACGCCUCUGGCUUACAGAAACAUAGAUGGCCGCCAUGUCAAUUCAGAUUCAUUCGCGCCAAGACUUUGGAGUUGCACCGACACAAAAUCGGCUUAAUAUCGACUAGAAACGUGCGGUUAAAAACGUUAAUUCCACCAUUAAGGAAUAAUUGGAAAAUUUUUGGCACGGCAAAACCCAACCGAUCAUCUUUUUUAGAGAUGGUGGAUGGUGCUCUCAGGGACUAGGCAAUAAAUAAAAGAAAUUUAAAAAAAUGUAUUUAAAAAUUUUAUGACAAAUUUUUUUAGCGCGUUUUGCUCGUUGGGUUAAAUAGCCUUGAAUGCGUUCACUUGCCCAUUUUGAGAGAGCGGUAGUGAAAACGGCAAACGACUCUGGAGUAGGUCAGGGUUUUAGUUCAGUUGGUGAAAAAAGUCGUGGACGAACGGUCGUGUAAAAAGAAUAGGAGUUCCGUAAUUUAAUUAUUAGAGCUUAGACAACUUGAACCGCCGGGGACCCUUUCGAAAGGGCCCCGGAAAUUUGGAUGACGCGGGAGGGCAAAAUACUUAGCUAACCUGGUCGUUCACCAGCUGCAGCAGCGAUCAGCAUCAUCAGCAGCAUCAGCCGCAGAAGCAGCAGCGAUCAGCAUCAGCAGCAGCAUUAGCCGCAAAAGCAGCAGCGAUCAGCAUCAGCAGUAGCAUCAGCCGCAGAAGCAGCAGCGAUCAGCAGCAGCAUCAGCCGCAGCAGCAUCAGCAGCAGCAUCGGCAGCAGCAGCAGCGUCAGCAGCAGCAGCAUCGGCAGCCUCCAGCAACUGCCUACGAGGCGGCCACAUACGGAGAUUCCCUCGAUGAGUCCGUUCCGGGAACGAAUACCCGCGCUGACUACGUGGUCAUCUCUGGGACCACCGACGCACUGUCUCCGGCUCCUCUGGCGCAAACGCGAGCUACCCUUCGGACCAUUUGGCUCUGUGCGCACUCGCGCCGGUUUUCGCCGCUAGCGGUGUUUUCUUCUUGCUGCAGCUUCGACCAGGCUCGACUAUAACCAUCGUUCAACUCUGCAAUAAAUAAGUUGUAGUUAUUAAUUAAUGAAAUCGUACUUUCAACAUUUUUUCAAAUA
Molecule: long non-coding RNA, 1313 nt
Organism: Drosophila gunungcola (fruit fly)
Lineage: Eukaryota; Metazoa; Arthropoda; Insecta; Diptera; Drosophilidae
Exons: 3
Source: RefSeq, a predicted model, not a curated record